This is a long non-coding RNA of Mytilus californianus (California mussel), 937 nucleotides long. RefSeq lists it as uncharacterized. Lineage: Eukaryota; Metazoa; Mollusca; Bivalvia; Mytilida; Mytilidae. The record is from RefSeq and is a predicted model, not a curated record. The transcript is spliced from 2 exons.
GUUUAAAGCAUUUUUGCCCAUCCAACUGUCGACAAAUAAACUAUUUAACAAUGUUAAUGCUGAGGCUUGGUGUCAUCUUGGUAUUAGGCAUUUGUUUGGAAAGUGCUAAAUCACCAUAUUUCAGAGGACCCGGUGGUCAUAAGAUUAAAGUACAUUGUCCCCCUAAUAUGCGAGACGAUUUAGAAAGUUGUUGGGUAGAUAGCUAUGGUAGAGGUGCGGGUCGAUUGCCAGAUAAAACACCUUGUCCAUCUGGAAUGCGAGAUGACGGUACCAGUUGUUGGAGUGAUGCCCAUAUAUAUGGAAAGGGAUGUUGUUGCACAAUCUUUGGAUGCUGUAACAGAUGUAAAAGUGGUUACCAUGACGAUGGAUGCACGUGCAGAAAAACAGAUGUAGGUAUUAAGGUGACACUGUUCCAACGACAAGGGUGUGGACCAGACGAAGAGAUAAAUGGACUUCUUUGCUAUCCAAAAUGUAAAAAAGGAUACUUUGCAAGUGGAUGCUGUAUUUGUACCCCAAAUGGUGGUGCAGGUAUACGCAUAACUUUUCAACAAAGGCAAAAAUGUAGGGAUGGAACAGAAGCAUACAACGAUUUGUGUUAUCCCAAAUGUGUAGCUGGUUAUAGCCCUGUAAAGCUUCAUUGCAUUCCAAAUUAGGAACCUCAGAUACAAUUUUGGCAAUGAAAAUGAAACCAUAGAGAAAGGCGUUUGGUGGGAGAAAAAGUAACUACAGUGAUUUUGAGUUUGGCGUUAACUUUACAAAAAUAUGUCAACAAAAAUAAUGAACAGGCAAGACAUACUAAAAUUGUCACACAAAACUUUUACCAGAUUUUCCUUUGAGGUCAACAAUAGAAAUGAUGAAAAUACAGAACUUUUAAUUACAAUGCCAUUAUAAACUAUCACCACAUCUGUUUUCUCGUAUAAUAAACUUUUAUGCAGUG